RNAcentral lists this ribosomal RNA (448 nucleotides) under uncultured bacterium. Its description in RNAcentral is "bacterial SSU rRNA". It matches the Rfam family "Bacterial small subunit ribosomal RNA", at positions 355 to 825 of the family's 1533-position model. The record is from RNAcentral.
UGAGGAAUAUUGCACAAUGGGCGCAAGCCUGAUGCAGCGACGCCGCGUGGGUGAUGAAGGCUUUCGGGUCGUAAAACCCUUUUCUGUGUGACGAGCAAGGACGGUAGCACAGGAAUAAGCCUCGGCUAACUACGUGCCAGCAGCCGCGGUAAAACGUAGGAGGCGAGCGUUAUCCGGAGUUACUGGGCGUAAAGCGCGUGUAGGUGGUUGGAUACGUCUGCUGUGAAAUGUCCCGGCUUAACCGGGAGGGUGCGGCAGAUACGGUCUGACUUGAGGGUGACAGAGGAGCGUAGAAUUCCGGGUGUAGUGGUGAAAUGCGUAGAGAUCGGGAGGAACAUCCGUGGCGAAGGCGGCUCUCUGGACCAGCACUGACGUUGAGGCACGAAAGCGUGGGGAGCAAACAGGAUUAGAUACCCUUGUAGUCCCUGAGCGGGCUGGCAAGGCGCAU